ACACAUGUUUUCUAGGGUUCCGCGGCAGAAUGAAGGCUGUUGGUCUGGUCCAAGAGAAGACACACGAUGGCGCUUCAUCGUGCACACGGAGGGAUAAAAGCCCGGGAGGA
This 110-nucleotide small RNA is filed under the name Paenibacillus ferrarius. Its description in RNAcentral is "Guanidine-I sequence". It matches the Rfam family "Guanidine-I riboswitch aptamer". From Rfam's summary of the family: This family represents a conserved RNA structure found upstream of the ykkC and yxkD genes in Bacillus subtilis and related genes in other bacteria. The function of this family is unclear although it has been suggested that it may function to switch on efflux pumps and detoxification systems in response to harmful environmental molecules. Nelson showed that this riboswitch senses and responds to guanidine and it was renamed Guanidine-I riboswitch. The record is from Rfam by way of RNAcentral. Lineage: Bacteria; Bacillati; Bacillota; Bacilli; Caryophanales; Paenibacillaceae.